UACGUAGGGUGCAAGCGUUGUCCGGAAUUAUUGGGCAUAAAGAGCUCGUAGGCGGUUUGUUGCGUCGGCUGUGAAAUCCCGAGGCUCAACCUCGGGUCUGCAGUCGAUACGAGCAAACUAGAGUGUUGCAGGGGAGACUGGAAUUCCUGGUGUAGCGGUGAAAUGCGCAGAUAUCAGGAGGAACACCGGUGGCGAAGGCGGGUCUCUGGGCAACAACUGACGCUGAGGAGCGAAAGCGUGGGGAGCGAACAGG
This 253-nucleotide ribosomal RNA is filed under the name uncultured bacterium. Its description in RNAcentral is "partial 16S ribosomal RNA". It matches the Rfam family "Bacterial small subunit ribosomal RNA", at positions 524 to 776 of the family's 1533-position model. The record is from RNAcentral.